GGCCAGUUAGCUCAGUGGUUUGAGCGCAGUGCUGACAAAAAUGACAAGACCAAGGUCGCGGGUUCGAUUCCUGCCCUGCUCG
RNAcentral lists this transfer RNA (82 nucleotides) under Apaloderma vittatum (bar-tailed trogon). It matches the Rfam family "tRNA". From Rfam's summary of the family: Transfer RNA (tRNA) molecules are approximately 80 nucleotides in length. The record is from Rfam by way of RNAcentral. Lineage: Eukaryota; Metazoa; Chordata; Aves; Trogoniformes; Trogonidae.